Long non-coding RNA from Chanos chanos (milkfish), 3624 nucleotides. RefSeq lists it as uncharacterized. Lineage: Eukaryota; Metazoa; Chordata; Actinopteri; Gonorynchiformes; Chanidae. The transcript is spliced from 3 exons. The record is from RefSeq and is a predicted model, not a curated record.
AAACUAGCGGGGCAGUGAAAUCUUUGCUUUGUGCUAAAGUCAACAGUGACAGAGUUUGAGCUCAAAUAAAUGUCGCGAUGCCUCCAGCCCUCUGCAGAAGGCGGCGGGCGAGGCUUCUCAGCUGGGCUCUGCUUUCGAAUAGGCGACAAUAAAGCUACAGGGUUUACUUGUUGCAUCUCCCUGGCCAUGUCUACCGUUACAUUUAACGUUGGACUGUGACAGGAAAAGUCUAACACAUCAUGAAGCUUGGAGCCAAAAUCAAAAUGCUAGUUCUCCUGGGAACAGAAGAAGAUAGCCGGCUCUGUUCUGGACUGUUUGCUCACUGGCCCUGAGAGCAAUCUUCCUCCCCGAAUGAAAUGCAAGGACACAAACAAUGUGCCGGCAAGAGAAAGAAAGACGGGGAAUGAACAGUUUGGACUAUUUGCUCAGCAGAAGGGCAGUCACAAUGGCUGGCCCAUGGCUUUCCCAUGCAUCAAGCCUCUUAGUCUUAGCACCCCUUUGUUGCUGGGUUUCGUCCAGAUAAGAGCCCAGCUGCCCCAUGCAUUUAACUCCCAUUGUACGGCAUACUGUAUAGCUGUUUAUCUGCUUUUGGCCAUUUUGUCAUUCAGUUAUUGCAUACCAUAUCUUCUGUGUAACCUUUGUGGGCAGGAUUCACCUUUGCAUGUGCAGUCGUUUAGGGAAGACAGAUCUGGAUAGGAAAGCCAGUUGCCCGGGGAAAAAGCCUCUCUUUCACUCUUCAAGUAUAGAGGGAGUGUGUAUUAACCCCAUGCUGAGACCCUUCUCAUGUCAAGUAUUCCUGAUAACAAAAGAAAUUAGUGAUCAGUUUUUAAAAGGAAACGAGAUGUGGGCAAUUUUAUGUGAACUUGAAAAAGUGAGAAUAGGAUGACAAAAGGCUAGUAAGAGAGGACAAAUAAAUCACAGGCACCCAUGCUAAGAGCAGUGUUGAUAUAUGCCAUUGUUCUGGUUGGACUGUUUGUCUAUGUUGGCGGCUGAGAAGCUGUGUUUCAAAUCCCUUAGCUCCUCGUGUGUCUUUGCUGAAUCGUGAAGGAGCAGGAAUAUUCUUUUUAUAAACAGAAAAAUCAAAGUAGAGCCAUUGCUUGGAGACAAAAAAGAUUUUUUAUAUAUUAUAGUGUAAAGGACAUUUUUAAAGCAGAACAUUUCAACGAUGAAUCGUGUUUGUGAUAUCAUGUUUAACGUCUUAUUCUUGGUUAUGUUUAUACCAUGCUGUAUCAGAUGUAAAAGGUCAAAAAUAUUAUAUGGUUGUAAAACAUGGUAAACACUGCAGAGGUCAGUUCAGAUGUUUUUACUAAACGGUUCUUCAUAUGCACAUGAUUCACUGGCUGCUAAAUAAGCUCAUAACCUCCCAAGGUGUCUGCAUGAGAUUAUCUUAACAAGCAUCUCAGGAUGAGUUAGAAAAGCAUUGAUAUAACACAGUCACAGUUACAGAGAGAGGAAUAGGAAGUUAUAAUGGUUGGCACCAUAUAGUGAUAUAAUGUGGGUUAGUAUGAAAAUUACUUGAAUCAACUCAAAAUUACUUGAAUCAACUCAUCAGUUAACAUUCAGUUAGGAUGGGAGAGAGAGAGAGAGAGAGAGAGAGAGAGAGGAUGUUAAUAAUCUAAUUAGCAGAAGAACAAUGUGAUCAUGAUGAAGGGAGAGAUUGUAAAACACAGCAGACAACUAACUGAUUAAAAUUUUUGUCCUCACCAUGUUUCAGUGACCUGUAUUUCAACACAGCAAAGCAGAAUUUGAAUAAAGUUGCAUGUCAAGAAACACAUCAGAUUGAUACUGUUAUGUACAUUAAGAAUAAGCAGUGUGUAUAAGUAGUUAUGGAGUGUUUGUAUAUGACACUAAUAGAUAGCAGAUAGUAGAUAUGCAAGAUAUGACUACUGAAAUAAGAGUGUAAGACUGACCAAAACAUGCACAUCCUGGAAAACUGCUAGCAUAGUGGUUGAAAUGUCUCAUCAAAUGGUAAUAACUCAGUAAGGGAAGGUCUUUUAGAAUUUAAUGUUGUAGAAGAAGAAAUGCAAUAUGUUCACAGUCACUGCUCUGAAAAAGCUGUAAUGGCUGGGAAAUGCAGCUGACAUAAAAUUUUUAAAUGGUUUCAAUCAGUUGAUUUUCUAAGGGAUAAAUUAAUAGACACUCAUGUUUGUCCAUUAUUUUCUUGAUCGGAACAUCAAGCAAGAAAGGUGUCAGAUUAAAGAAGGAAAACAGGACUGUCUUUGUUCUGAAUACAUGUGUGUAUUUCGCUCGUGUUCAUGUGCUUGUGUGUGUGUGUGUGUAAGAUUGUGUGGGUGUAUGUGGGUUGGCACAGCACCAUGCUUCACUGAUGCUAAAAUAAAGUUCUGUUCACGGCUUUUCAGCACGUCUUUGAAUUGCCCCCGCAGUGUAAUUUGUAAAUGACGAGAACCUCAGUAAUGUCGUGAUACAGAUCCCUGAGAGCUCGCCAGCUAAAGACAGAGUCUGAGUCAGUGCAAAUGACUGACACAAAAGCCCUGUGAUUAGCAGUGACCGGAACAUGUUAAGAACCUGGGGCUAAGAACACACACGAACAAACACACCUACAGCAUUUACAGGGCCGUCACAUACAGUUUCUAUAGCCCUCUCCAACAACAGGUGAUGUCUCCACUUCUUGAGCUGAUUUUUGAUAAAAUGACCUCCUUUUCAUCAAAAUACUGGAAUCGAUUAAAAUUUUUGGAUUUUGGGAGCUGUAAAUGAAGUACUGUUUUAAACCUUCAACACAGCUCUGAAGAAAACGACAAGUUCAACCGGUAGUUUAAGUUGAGGUAGAGUACCUUCCACUCUUUUAAAUGUCUUAUGAUUUUUCUUAAGCUCACCCUUGUGACAUACAUUUGUGAACGUGAAUGUAUUGAUUUUCUUUCUACCUCAACCUCUCUGUUUUUCUCUCUCUCUCUCUGUGGUUGGUCAUGUUUUUGAAUGGAAAGAGAGAGAUAACAGGAAUAGGGUGAUGUGACUGUUACACAGUACCCUCUCUGUGGGCCUCAUUGACCGGCUCAUGGCAUUGGUCAGGUAUGCCUGCAAUGUUUAACCAGUGAUCCAUCUUUACCUGUUUAGAGUUCUCUCUCUCUCUCUCUCUCUCUCUCUCUCUCUCUCUCUCUCUCUCUCUUUCAGGCAGCUUUGUUUGAGCUGUGGCCUUAUUAGUGUUUCUCUGACUCAACAAAUCAAACCUACUUAUGUCACAACUGACCAAAGCGAUAAAUUUAUGCUUCAUCGUAAUCCUGUUUAUUUUUCUAUAAGUGAAAUGUCACGUGGGGUUUGAUUUAUCAGAGUGCGUGUGUGGGUGAAAAUGACUUCAAAGGAGAAGCUGAAGGGUUAGGGGUGAUUUAGAAUAAAAUACCCCUUAUCACUGGUUUCCAGCAUUAACAAACACGUUAUUGUGAAAAUCAAGCUUUGCAUUAGGAAGGUAGACUUUAAAAAAUGUUUGUUUAUGUAAAUCAAAACAAAGAUUGCGAUUUGACUUGGAUCUGUUGUCAUUAUUGUAAAUGCUUAAAAAUGACAUGUUCAGCAGAAUCAACAAUAACAUUACUAUAGUACAUUUGCAUUGUCAAAAUCAUAGCUCUAUAAAUUUGUCCAACAUGUGAUACAAUAAAGAUGCUUAAAAAACCA